CAAACCUCUCCUAUUAUUGAUCCUACAGCACUCUACCUAAUCGUGAACUGAAAGACCGAAUAGUGCAAUAUACGG
Molecule: transfer RNA, 75 nt
Filed under: Thalassiosira gravida
Lineage: Eukaryota; Bacillariophyta; Thalassiosirophyceae; Thalassiosirales; Thalassiosiraceae
Source: RNAcentral